Molecule: ribosomal RNA, 664 nt
Filed under: uncultured fungus
Lineage: Eukaryota; Fungi
Description: eukaryotic LSU rRNA
Rfam family: Eukaryotic large subunit ribosomal RNA
Source: RNAcentral
CCCGCUGAACUUAAGCAUAUCAAUAAGCGGAGGAAAAGAAACUAACAAGGAUUCCCCUAGUAACGGCGAGUGAAGAGGGAAGAGCUCAAAUUUUGAAUCUGGCGUCUCUGGCGUCCGAAUUGUAAUCUAGAGAAGUGUUUUCCGUGACGGACCGUGCAUAAGUCUCCUGGAAUGGAGUGUCAUAGAGGGUGAGAAUCCCGUAUAUGGCACGGACUCCCGUUGCUCUGUGAUACACUCUCGACGAGUCGAGUUGUUUGGGAAUGCAGCUCAAAUAGGGUGGUAAAUUCCAUCUAAAGCUAAAUACAGGCGAGAGACCGAUAGCGAACAAGUACCGUGAGGGAAAGAUGAAAAGAACUUCGGAAAGAGAGUUAAACAGUACGUGAAAUUGCUGAAAGGGAAACGCUUGAUGUCAGUCGCGUCGUCCGGGGAUCAGCCUUGCUCUUUUGCUCGGUGUAUUUCCUGGUCGACGGGUCAGCAUCGGUUUCGACCGUCGGAAAAUGGCUCGAGGAAUGUGGCACCCUUCGGGGUGUGUUAUAGACUCGGGUCGAAUACGGCGAUUGGGACCGAGGAACUCAGCACGACCUUAGGGUUCGGGGCUUCGGCCCACGUCAACGUGCUUAGGAUGCUGGCAUAAUGGCCUUAAGCGACCCGUCUUGAAACACGG